RNAcentral lists this ribosomal RNA (440 nucleotides) under uncultured bacterium. RNAcentral describes it as "partial 16S ribosomal RNA". It matches the Rfam family "Bacterial small subunit ribosomal RNA", at positions 338 to 795 of the family's 1533-position model. The record is from RNAcentral.
CCUACGGGAGGCAGCAGUGGGGAAUAUUGCACAAUGGGCGAAACCCUGAUCCAGCCACGCCGCGUGAAUGAAGAAGUACCUCGGGAUGUAAAGCUCUAUCAGCAGGGAAGAAAAGGACGGUACUUGUAUAAGUUGUCCUGGCUAACUACGUGCCAGCAGCCGCGGUAACACGUCGGGCGCAAGCGUUAUCCGGAUUUACUGGGUGUAAAGGGAGCGUAGACGGCAUGGCAAGUCUGGAGUGAAAGGCGCGGGCUCAAUCCGCGAACUGCACUGGAAACUGGACGGCUGGAGUGCAGGAGAAGUAGGUGGAAUUCGUGGUGUAGCGGUGAAAUGCGUAGAUAUUAGGAGGAACACCGGUGGCGAAGGCGGCUUACUGGACUGUAACUGACGUUGAGGCUCGAAAGCGUGGGGAGCGAACAGGAUUAGAUACCCUAGUAGUC